This 1188-nucleotide ribosomal RNA is filed under the name Staphylococcus simiae. Its description in RNAcentral is "bacterial LSU rRNA". It matches the Rfam family "Bacterial large subunit ribosomal RNA", at positions 237 to 1429 of the family's 2925-position model. Lineage: Bacteria; Bacillati; Bacillota; Bacilli; Caryophanales; Staphylococcaceae. The record is from RNAcentral.
CCCUGAGUAGCGGCGAGCGAAACGGGAAGAGCCCAAACCAACAAGCUUGCUUGUUGGGGUUGUAGGACACUCUGUACGGAGUUACAAAGGACGAUAUUAGACGAAUCAUCUGGAAAGAUGAAUCAAAGAAGGUAACAAUCCUGUAGUUGAAAAUAUUGUCUCUCUUGAGUGGAUCCUGAGUACGACGGAGCACGUGAAAUUCCGUCGGAAUCUGGGAGGACCAUCUCCUAAGGCUAAAUACUCUCUAGUGACCGAUAGUGAACCAGUACCGUGAGGGAAAGGUGAAAAGCACCCCGGAAGGGGAGUGAAAUAGAACCUGAAACCGUGUGCUUACAAGUAGUCAGAGCCCGUUAAUGGGUGAUGGCGUGCCUUUUGUAGAAUGAACCGGCGAGUUACGAUUUGAUGCAAGGUUAAGCAGUAAAUGUGGAGCCGUAGCGAAAGCGAGUCUGAAUAGGGCGUUUAGUAUUUGGUCGUAGACCCGAAACCAGGUGAUCUACCCUUGGUCAGGUUGAAGUUCAGGUAACACUGAAUGGAGGACCGAACCGACUUACGUUGAAAAGUGAGCGGAUGAACUGAGGGUAGCGGAGAAAUUCCAAUCGAACCUGGAGAUAGCUGGUUCUCUCCGAAAUAGCUUUAGGGCUAGCCUCAAGUGAUGAUUAUUGGAGGUAGAGCACUGUUUGGACGAGGGGCCCUUCUCGGGUUACCGAAUUCAGACAAACUCCGAAUGCCAAUUAAUUUAACUUGGGAGUCAGAACAUGGGUGAUAAGGUCCGUGUUCGAAAGGGAAACAGCCCAGACCACCAGCUAAGGUCCCAAAAUAUAUGUUAAGUGGAAAAGGAUGUGGCGUUGCCCAGACAACUAGGAUGUUGGCUUAGAAGCAGCCAUCAUUUAAAGAGUGCGUAAUAGCUCACUAGUCGAGUGACACUGCGCCGAAAAUGUACCGGGGCUAAACAUAUUACCGAAGCUGUGGAUUGUCCUUUGGACAAUGGUAGGAGAGCGUUCUAAGGGCGGUGAAGCAUGAUCGCAAGGACAUGUGGAGCGCUUAGAAGUGAGAAUGCCGGUGUGAGUAGCGAAAGACGGGUGAGAAUCCCGUCCACCGAUUGACUAAGGUUUCCAGAGGAAGGCUCGUCCGCUCUGGGUUAGUCGGGUCCUAAGCUGAGGCCGACAGGCGUAGGCGAUGGAUAACAGG